Molecule: ribosomal RNA, 490 nt
Filed under: uncultured bacterium
Lineage: Bacteria
Description: bacterial SSU rRNA
Rfam family: Bacterial small subunit ribosomal RNA
Source: RNAcentral
AGAGUUUGAUCAUGGCUCAGAACGAACGCUGGCGGCAGGCCUAACACAUGCAAGUCGAGCGCCCCGCAAGGGGAGCGGCAGACGGGAGAGUAACACGUGGGAACGUACCCUUUGGUUCGGAACAACCCAGGGAAACUUGGGCUAAUACCGGAUAAGCCCUUACGGGGAAAGAUUCAUCGCCGAAGGAUCGGCCCGCGUCUGAUUAGCUAGUUGGUGGGGUAACGGCCCACCAAGGCGACGAUCAGUAGCUGGUCUGAGAGGAUGAUCAGCCUCACUGGGACUGAGACACGGCCCAGACUCCUACGGGAGGCAGCAGUGGGGAAUAUUGGUCAAUGGACGAAAGUCUGAACCAGCCAUGCCGCGUGGAGGAUGAAGGUCCUCUGGAUUGUAAACUUCUUUUAUAUGGGACGAAAAAAGGCUUUUCUAAGUCGUCUGACGGUACCAUAUGAAUAAGCACCGGCUAACUCCGUGCCAGCAGCGGCGGUAAUUC